AUGUAGAGCACUUUGAAUUCAUGCACUUUGAGUUUAAUAUCAUGAUUGGAUAGAAUUUCUUGUUUUUCUCCCUUAAGGAUGAGAUGACUACGAGUGUAUUUUGUGUGAGAAGACAAAUGAACUAAAUAUUGGUGGUAAGACAGGGCACUUAUUGUAGUUGAAAACAUGCAGCACCAUUUGAAACAAAGAGACAAGAAAUCUUAGGAAGAUUUUCCAAGCAAGAGAAUAUCCAAGUCAGAUCUGAG
Molecule: long non-coding RNA, 245 nt
Filed under: Homo sapiens (human)
Lineage: Eukaryota; Metazoa; Chordata; Mammalia; Primates; Hominidae
Description: HSALNT0041507
Source: RNAcentral